CACAAGCGGUGGAGCAUGUUGGUUUAAUUCGAAGCAACGACGAAGAACCUUACCAGGUCUUGACAUCCCGAUGCUAUUUCUAGAGAUAGAAAGUUACUUCGGUACAUCGGUGACAGGUGGUGCAUGGUUGUCGUCAGCUCGUGUCGUGAGAUGUUGGGUUAAGUCCCGCAACGAGCGCAACCCCUAUUGUUAGUUGCCAUCAUUCAGUUGGGCACUCUAGCGAGACUGCCGGUAAUAAACCGGAGGAAGGUGGGGAUGACGUCAAAUCAUCAUGCCCCUUAUGACCUGGGCUACACACGUGCUACAAUGGUUGGUACAACGAGUUGCGAGUCGGUGACGGCGAGCUAAUCUCUUAAAGCCAAUCUCAGUUCGGAUUGUAGGCUGCAACUCGCCUACAUGAAGUCGGAAUCGCUAGUAAUCGCGGAUCAGCACGCCGCGGUGAAUACGUUCCCGGGCCUU
RNAcentral lists this ribosomal RNA (459 nucleotides) under uncultured Streptococcus sp. RNAcentral describes it as "bacterial SSU rRNA". It matches the Rfam family "Bacterial small subunit ribosomal RNA", at positions 924 to 1382 of the family's 1533-position model. Lineage: Bacteria; Bacillati; Bacillota; Bacilli; Lactobacillales; Streptococcaceae. The record is from RNAcentral.